RNAcentral lists this unclassified non-coding RNA (330 nucleotides) under fungal sp. RNAcentral describes it as "partial internal transcribed spacer region". The stretch from base 1 to 46 matches the Rfam family "Eukaryotic small subunit ribosomal RNA", at positions 1786 to 1831 of the family's 1831-position model. Lineage: Eukaryota; Fungi. The record is from RNAcentral.
AAGUCGUAACAAGGUUUCCGUAGGUGAACCUGCGGAAGGAUCAUUAUUGAAGUUGCUGAGGGGUUGCUGCUGGCUCUCAGGAGUACUGUGCACGCCCUUCUCACUUUACCUUCAUCCACCUGUGCACACACUGUAGAUCUCGGAUAAAUUUUCGGUCGGAUUUUUUCUAAUCUGGCCGGCUGUGAUUGCUGCUCUUUUGCGAGGGCUUCAGUCCAAUUUCCGGGUUCUACGUCUCUCUCACAUACUCUAAGUAAUGUCAUAGAAUGUAUCGUGGGUCGUAUGACCUCUAAAAUUAUAAUACAACUUUCAACAACGGAUCUCUUGGCUCUC